RNAcentral lists this ribosomal RNA (253 nucleotides) under uncultured bacterium. RNAcentral describes it as "partial 16S ribosomal RNA". It matches the Rfam family "Bacterial small subunit ribosomal RNA", at positions 524 to 776 of the family's 1533-position model. The record is from RNAcentral.
UACGUAGGGUGCUAGCGUUGUUCGGAAUUACUGGGCGUAAAGCGCACGUAGGCGGCUUUGUAAGUUAGAGGUGAAAGCCCGGGGCUCAACUCCGGAACUGCCUUUAAGACUGCAUCGCUUGAAUCAUGGAGAGGUUAGUGGAAUUCCGAGUGUAGAGGUGAAAUUCGUAGAUAUUCGGAAGAACACCAGUGGCGAAGGCGACUAACUGGACAUGUAUUGACGCUGAGGUGCGAAAGCGUGGGGAGCAAACAGG